GAUGAACGCUGGCGGCGUGCCUAAUACAUGCGAGUCGAGCGAACGGACGAGAAGCUUGCUUCUCUAAUGUUAGCGGCGGACGGGUGAGUAACACGUGGAUAACCUACCUAUAAGACUGGGAUAACUUCGGGAAACCGUAGCUAAUACCGGAUAAUAUUUUGAACCGCAUGGUUCAAAAGUGAAAGACGGUCUUGCUGUCACUUAUAGAUGGAUCCGCGCUGCAUUAGCUAGUUGGUAAGGUAACGGCUUACCAAGGCAACGAUGCAUAGCCGAUCUGAGAGGGUGAUCGGCCACACUGGAACUGAGACACGGUCCAGACUCCUACGGGAGGCAGCAGUAGGGAAUCUUCCGCAAUGGGCGAAAGCCUGACGGAGCAACGCCGCGUGAGUGAUGAAGGUCUUCGGAUCGUAAAACUCUGUUAUUAGGGAAGAACAUAUGUGUAAGUAACUGUGCACAUCUUGACGGUACCUAAUCAGAAAGCCACGGCUAACUACGUG
RNAcentral lists this ribosomal RNA (497 nucleotides) under uncultured bacterium. Its description in RNAcentral is "partial 16S ribosomal RNA". It matches the Rfam family "Bacterial small subunit ribosomal RNA", at positions 28 to 507 of the family's 1533-position model. The record is from RNAcentral.